UACGAAGGUGGCAAGCGUUGUUCGGAUUUACUGGGCGUAAAGGGAGCGUAGGUGGUGGGGUAAGCCCCGCGGGAAAGCUCCAGGCUUAACCUGGAAAGGUCGCGGGGGACUGCUCCGCUCGAGGACGGGAGAGGAGCGCGGAAUUCCCCGUGUAGCGGUGAAAUGCGUAGAGAUCGGGAGGAAGGCCGGUGGCGAAGGCGGCGCUCUGGAACGGCCCUGACACUGAGGCUCGAAAGCGUGGGGAGCAAACAGG
RNAcentral lists this ribosomal RNA (253 nucleotides) under uncultured bacterium. Its description in RNAcentral is "partial 16S ribosomal RNA". It matches the Rfam family "Bacterial small subunit ribosomal RNA", at positions 524 to 776 of the family's 1533-position model. The record is from RNAcentral.